This 253-nucleotide ribosomal RNA is filed under the name uncultured bacterium. RNAcentral describes it as "partial 16S ribosomal RNA". It matches the Rfam family "Bacterial small subunit ribosomal RNA", at positions 524 to 776 of the family's 1533-position model. The record is from RNAcentral.
UACGUAGGGUGCAGGCGUUAAUCGGAAUUACUGGGCGUAAAGCGUGCGCAGGCGGUCUUUUAAGUCAGAUGUGAAAUCCCCGGGCUUAGCCUGGGAACUGCGUUUGAAACUGAAAGGCUAGAGUGUGGCAGAGGGGGGUGGAAUUCCACGUGUAGCAGUGAAAUGCGUAGAGAUGUGGAGGAACACCGAUGGCGAAGGCAGCCCCCUGGGCUAACACUGACGCUCAUGCACGAAAGCGUGGGGAGCAAACAGG